UGGAGAGUUUGAUCCUGGCUCAGGACGAACGCUGGCGGCGUGCUUAACACAUGCAAGUCGAACGGAAAGGCCCCUUCGGGGGUACUCGAGUGGCGAACGGGUGAGUAACACGUGGGUAAUCUGCCCUGCACACUGGGAUAAGCCUGGGAAACUGGGUCUAAUACCGGAUAGGACCUCUCGGCGCAUGCCUAAGAGGUGGAAAGCUUUUGCGGUGUGGGAUGGGCCCGCGGCCUAUCAGCUUGUUGGUGGGGUGACGGCCUACCAAGGCGACGACGGGUAGCCGGCCUGAGAGGGUGUCCGGCCACACUGGGACUGAGAUACGGCCCAGACUCCUACGGGAGGCAGCAGUGGGGAAUAUUGCACAAUGGGCGCAAGCCUGAUGCAGCGACGCCGCGUGGGGGAUGACGGCCUUCGGGUUGUAAACCUCUUUCAGCAGGGACGAAGCGCAAGUGACGGUACCUGCAGAAGAAGCACCGGCCAACUACGUGCCAGCAGCCGCGGUA
RNAcentral lists this ribosomal RNA (503 nucleotides) under Mycobacterium intermedium. RNAcentral's name for it is "bacterial SSU rRNA". It matches the Rfam family "Bacterial small subunit ribosomal RNA", at positions 1 to 522 of the family's 1533-position model. Lineage: Bacteria; Bacillati; Actinomycetota; Actinomycetes; Mycobacteriales; Mycobacteriaceae. The record is from RNAcentral.